This 490-nucleotide ribosomal RNA is filed under the name uncultured bacterium. Its description in RNAcentral is "partial 16S ribosomal RNA". It matches the Rfam family "Bacterial small subunit ribosomal RNA", at positions 28 to 507 of the family's 1533-position model. The record is from RNAcentral.
GAUGAACGCUAGCUACAGGCUUAACACAUGCAAGUCGCGGGGCAGCAUGGGGGUUGCUUGCAAUCCCCGAUGGCGACCGGCGCACGGGUGAGUAACGCGUAUCCAACCUGCCCUUCACCACGGGAUAACCCGGCGAAAGUCGGACUAAUACCGUAUGUUGUCCAUUGACGGCAUCCGAUUUGGACGAAAGGUUUGGCGGUGAAGGAUGGGGAUGCGUCCGAUUAGCUGGACGGCGGGGUGACGGCCCACCGUGGCGACGAUCGGUAGGGGUUCUGAGAGGAAGGUCCCCCACACUGGAACUGAGACACGGUCCAGACUCCUACGGGAGGCAGCAGUGAGGAAUAUUGGUCGAUGGGCGUAAGCCUGAACCAGCCAAGUAGCGUGCAGGAGGACGGCCCUAUGGGUUGUAAACUGCUUUUAUGCGGGGAUAAAGUGGCCCACGUGUGGGUUUUUGCAGGUACCGCAUGAAUAAGGACCGGCUAAUUCCGUG